ACACUGGCUGUUCUGCUCUUCAUGUCUGCUGGCAAAGUCAGGAAAAAGGAUGGAUGUAUCCUCACCAUUUUUUCAAGAGGAACCUGCAGAGGGCUAUGAAUCCAGUGUCACUUGAUUCUACUCAAUGGCUACCUUUGAGAUGUCAGGCUGGUCGCCUGAGUCAUGCAGUGUGCUGCUCCAGUUCCUACAGAUGCCGUGCCUCUUCCAGCAAACUCUGCUGCCCCCACAGAGCUCAAGAUCCUGCCUAUGAGUCACCACCAAGGGUUGGAGGCCUGUGUGACCUCCCAGGUGGUCCAGCUGCCUCUCCAGGAAGCUGUGCCAGAAAAGGCCUGCCAGGAACCAGCGGGCUGCCCUCCAAGGUUAAAAAUUUCCACAGACCAGUCAAAACCUUUUGGUGGCCGAGCGCAGUGGCUCACACCUAUAAUCCCGGCACUUUGGGAGGCCG
RNAcentral lists this long non-coding RNA (445 nucleotides) under Homo sapiens (human). RNAcentral describes it as "HSALNT0309514". The record is from RNAcentral. Lineage: Eukaryota; Metazoa; Chordata; Mammalia; Primates; Hominidae.